This 460-nucleotide ribosomal RNA is filed under the name uncultured bacterium. Its description in RNAcentral is "partial 16S ribosomal RNA". It matches the Rfam family "Bacterial small subunit ribosomal RNA", at positions 338 to 795 of the family's 1533-position model. The record is from RNAcentral.
CCUACGGGAGGCAGCAGUGAGGAAUAUUGGUCAAUGGGCGCGAGCCUGAACCAGCCACGUAGCGUGAAGGAUGACUGCCCUACGGGUUGUAAACUUCUUUUAUAAAGGAAUAAAGUGAGGCACGGGUGCCUUUUUGUAUGUACUUUCUGAAUAAGGAUCGGCUAACUCCGUGCCAGCAGCCGCGGUAAUCCGGAGGAUCCGAGCGUUAUCCGGAUUUAUUGGGUUUAAAGGGUGCGUGGAGGGGUUGUUAAGUCAGUGGUGAAAGUUUGCGGCUCAACCGUAAAAUUGCAAUUGAUACUGGCAGUCGUGAGUACAGUUGGGGAAGGCGGAAUUCGGGGUGUAGCGGUGAAAUGCUUAGAUAUCACGAAGAACUCCGAUUGCGAAGGCAGGUUACUAAGCUGCCACUGACAUUGAUGCUCGAAAGUGUGGGUAUCGAACAGGAUUAGAUACCCUUGUAGUC